CAGAUCAGCCACUAUUAACUAGGGUGGCCAGGAAAUGUCCCAGUGAGAUAUGCAAGACCUUAGGGAAGCUAGAGUCCCAGCUAGUGAGUCGUAGAUGCUCAGCCUCCAAACCAUGCCUUGCGUACUUGGCUUUGCCAUUCUGCAAACCAAAUGUCUGCUUUGUUGGCUGGCUUCUUGUGCAGCUCCAUGAACACAGGGUGUCACAGGGGAGUGGAAGCUGGAGGAAGGAAAGGGGCUCGCUCCUGUGAGCUUUCUGUCUGCUGUGGUUCCUAUAUACGUCAUUCCUGGAAUGCUUCUUUACCCCUCAGAGGCAGUGCUUUUCCGGAGCAGCAGCUGAGUCCAGGGACUUCUGCUUGCUGCUGCCAAGUGAAAAAUCAUGUAUUUACUUCCCGUUCCGCCGUGAUUGUAAGUUUCCUGAGGCCUCCCCAGCCCUGCAGAACUGGACAGCUCAGAACUCCCAUGUUUCCUCAAAAGGUUCCCUCCUGCUGCUCACCUGAGCUGCCUGUCCCAGCACACAGCCACCAUCACCAGCAGGUUCCCCAAGAUGGCCAUCAGGAUAACCGUCGAGAGAAACGUGAGCAGCACCACCUUCUCCACUGACCCGAAACCCUCCUCAGAACUGAAAGACACACACAAGCACAAAGAAUUGAAUGAAACUCUGGGACACAAGAAGGAAAAUUCGUCUUUUCAUCAUUGACCUUCAGAAAGGUUUCUUGAGAGACUAAACAUACAAAUGGACAAUGGCCAGACCAUGUGUAACAAUAAAACUCCGAUGGACAAUCUCUGGCAGCCAGCCCAGAACGAUCAGGACUUGUUCAAUGACUGCGAGCUAGCUUCCCCCUUUUUUAACCCUCUUACCUGCUUCCAACUCAAGACUAACAACAGAAUGCCAAAGACACUGCUCCCCAAAGCAAUUACGUAAGAUGCCUCACUGCUUGUUAGUGCACCUCCUGCUUCAAUGUGCCAACAACCUCCAAUCAGAAGAUAGCAGAAGCCUUCUUUUCCCCGCUUAUAAAGCUUUUUUACUCCCCUGCCUGUCUUUGAGACUUUGCUAAAUUCCAAGGAUGGUGGCUGAUCCUCUUGCUUUAUCAUGCUCUGAAUAAAUUGCUUGUUUGUUCUCA
This is a long non-coding RNA of Homo sapiens (human), 1121 nucleotides long. RefSeq annotates it as HTR4 antisense RNA 1. NCBI's taxonomy places the organism in Eukaryota, Metazoa, Chordata, Mammalia, Primates, Hominidae. The transcript is spliced from 4 exons. The record is from RefSeq and is a predicted model, not a curated record.